RNAcentral lists this long non-coding RNA (370 nucleotides) under Phoenix dactylifera (date palm). RNAcentral's name for it is "long non-coding RNA (PDAC_LNC017700)". Lineage: Eukaryota; Viridiplantae; Streptophyta; Magnoliopsida; Arecales; Arecaceae. The record is from RNAcentral.
AAAGGCCGCAUAGCCACCGAGCUUGGACGACUGAGGUCGGCGUCCGACCUCUGAACGUCCGACCUCAGAACGUCCGACCUCGAAACGUCCGACCUAGAGAAUUUCCGACCCCAAAGGUCUGUCCUUGUCGACCACCUACUACGGCCGAACCCCUCCAAAGUCCGGCCGAGGGCCAUAUUCUGCCACUGCCCCAGCAUUUAUUACGCAUGACCUCUGCAAACCCCCAGUUUACUCAACAAUUAAUGCGACUCUCCGGCCUACUCAACUAUUAAUGCGCACCUCCGGCUUACUCAACAAUUAAUACGCAUGACUUCUAUUAUCUACGGACCUACGGCUCUCCAUGGCAAAUCAGCUCAGCGGAGUCCAAUCA